Molecule: transfer RNA, 69 nt
Filed under: Fasciola gigantica
Lineage: Eukaryota; Metazoa; Platyhelminthes; Trematoda; Plagiorchiida; Fasciolidae
Description: tRNA-Thr
Rfam family: tRNA (bases 7-63)
About the family: Transfer RNA (tRNA) molecules are approximately 80 nucleotides in length.
Source: RNAcentral
CGCAACAGCUCAGCUGGUAGAGCAUCCGCCCAGUAUGCGGAGGGUCGCCGGUUUGAUUCCGGCCCGCGA